Anthonomus grandis grandis is the source of this 876-nucleotide long non-coding RNA. RefSeq lists it as uncharacterized. The transcript has 3 exons. NCBI's taxonomy places the organism in Eukaryota, Metazoa, Arthropoda, Insecta, Coleoptera, Curculionidae. The record is from RefSeq and is a predicted model, not a curated record.
UAUUUUCCAAUAAUGAAAUUUUAGGUUGGAGAAAGUUAGUGACAAUGGAGGCGAUUCUCAAUGGAAAGUGCGUAAUGCAAGUUCAGCUGUGAAUUCCGAUAUUGACUAUGAGAUUUAUGACUUUGAAACUUCAGAUAAUAACACCUUAGAGCAGCCCUCGGAGCAGCCGAUGAUCAUAGAUUACUUCGAAAAUGAACAGAUAGCACAAAAGAUUAAGGUAUCGUCAUCAACAGAAAAAAUACAGGAAGAACCGGAGCCGGAAAAAUCUAAUACAGUUUUCACAGACCUCACUAACUUAAAUUCUGAAGGUUUAGGUUUUUUACCCGAUGGCGAUGAACACCUGCAGAAUAGGGAAGUAUUAGAGAUCCUCUCACAGUCCAGUUAUACUUCUGAUCCUAAAGAAUCAUCGGACUGUUCAGUGUUCACUUAAGGAUCCGGAUUAUAGGGAUGAUUCUUCCUCUACGUCUUCUAGCUCAUCGUCAUCAGAAGAUUCAUCAUCUUCUGGCUCAUCAGAAGAAGAUGUUGAUGAUCCAGAUCAAGCCGUUGCCGAAGUAGAAAUAAAAAAGACUAGAAAAAGGAAAGCGAAACCAACUGAAUGGAAAAAAGCGUGUGCUAAGCGGUUAAGAAAUAGCGGUCAGUCCUAUAAAACUCUUGGUAAAGAAAUAGAGGUGCCAAGGAGGCAAAUAAAGCCAGCUUGUAAUGACACAUGCUCCCACAAAUGCAGCAGCAAGUUUAACGAGGAAGAAAGAAUUACAAUAUUUAAUGCCUAUUGGAAAAUAAAAGAUAUCGUUAAACAGCGCAUAUUUAUAUCAACCCUUAUACAAGAGAUUAAUCCUAAAUAUAGGUAUACCCAUGAUGGUAAUGGCAGGACGACCA